RNAcentral lists this ribosomal RNA (484 nucleotides) under uncultured bacterium. Its description in RNAcentral is "partial 16S ribosomal RNA". It matches the Rfam family "Bacterial small subunit ribosomal RNA", at positions 30 to 507 of the family's 1533-position model. The record is from RNAcentral.
AUUGAACGCUGGCGGCAGGCCUAACACAUGCAAGUCGAGCGGAUGAAGGGAGCUUGCUCCUGGAUUCAGCGGCGGACGGGUGAGUAAUGCCUAGGAAUCUGCCUGGUAGUGGGGGAUAACGUCCGGAAACGGGCGCUAAUACCGCAUACGUCCUGAGGGAGAAAGUGGGGGAUCUUCGGACCUCACGCUAUCAGAUGAGCCUAGGUCGGAUUAGCUAGUUGGUGGGGUAAAGGCCUACCAGGGCGACGAUCCGUAACUGGUCUGAGAGGAUGAUCAGUCACACUGGAACUGAGACACGGUCCAGACUCCUACGGGAGGCAGCAGUGGGGAAUAUUGGACAAUAGGCGAAAGCCUGAUCCAGCCAUGCCGCGUGUGUGAAGAAGGUCUUCGGAUUGUAAAGCACUUUAAGUUGGGAGGAAGGGCAGUAAGUUAAUACCUUGCUGUUUUGACGUUACCAACAGAAUAAGCACCGGCUAACUUCGUG